RNAcentral lists this ribosomal RNA (2334 nucleotides) under Shigella sonnei. RNAcentral's name for it is "partial 23S ribosomal RNA". It matches the Rfam family "Bacterial large subunit ribosomal RNA", at positions 602 to 2915 of the family's 2925-position model. Lineage: Bacteria; Pseudomonadati; Pseudomonadota; Gammaproteobacteria; Enterobacterales; Enterobacteriaceae. The record is from RNAcentral.
UACCUUUUGUAUAAUGGGUCAGCGACUUAUAUUCUGUAGCAAGGUUAACCGAAUAGGGGAGCCGAAGGGAAACCGAGUCUUAACUGGGCGUUAAGUUGCAGGGUAUAGACCCGAAACCCGGUGAUCUAGCCAUGGGCAGGUUGAAGGUUGGGUAACACUAACUGGAGGACCGAACCGACUAAUGUUGAAAAAUUAGCGGAUGACUUGUGGCUGGGGGUGAAAGGCCAAUCAAACCGGGAGAUAGCUGGUUCUCCCCGAAAGCUAUUUAGGUAGCGCCUCGUGAAUUCAUCUCCGGGGGUAGAGCACUGUUUCGGCAAGGGGGUCAUCCCGACUUACCAACCCGAUGCAAACUGCGAAUACCGGAGAAUGUUAUCACGGGAGACACACGGCGGGUGCUAACGUCCGUCGUGAAGAGGGAAACAACCCAGACCGCCAGCUAAGGUCCCAAAGUCAUGGUUAAGUGGGAAACGAUGUGGGAAGGCCCAGACAGCCAGGAUGUUGGCUUAGAAGCAGCCAUCAUUUAAAGAAAGCGUAAUAGCUCACUGGUCGAGUCGGCCUGCGCGGAAGAUGUAACGGGGCUAAACCAUGCACCGAAGCUGCGGCAGCGACGCUUAUGCGUUGUUGGGUAGGGGAGCGUUCUGUAAGCCUGCGAAGGUGUGCUGUGAGGCAUGCUGGAGGUAUCAGAAGUGCGAAUGCUGACAUAAGUAACGAUAAAGCGGGUGAAAAGCCCGCUCGCCGGAAGACCAAGGGUUCCUGUCCAACGUUAAUCGGGGCAGGGUGAGUCGACCCCUAAGGCGAGGCCGAAAGGCGUAGUCGAUGGGAAACAGGUUAAUAUUCCUGUACUUGGUGUUACUGCGAAGGGGGGACGGAGAAGGCUAUGUUGGCCGGGCGACGGUUGUCCCGGUUUAAGCGUGUAGGCUGGUUUUCCAGGCAAAUCCGGAAAAUCAAGGCUGAGGCGUGAUGACGAGGCACUACGGUGCUGAAGCAACAAAUGCCCUGCUUCCAGGAAAAGCCUCUAAGCAUCAGGUAACAUCAAAUCGUACCCCAAACCGACACAGGUGGUCAGGUAGAGAAUACCAAGGCGCUUGAGAGAACUCGGGUGAAGGAACUAGGCAAAAUGGUGCCGUAACUUCGGGAGAAGGCACGCUGAUAUGUAGGUGAAGUCCCUUGCGGAUGGAGCUGAAAUCAGUCGAAGAUACCAGCUGGCUGCAACUGUUUAUUAAAAACACAGCACUGUGCAAACACGAAAGUGGACGUAUACGGUGUGACGCCUGCCCGGUGCCGGAAGGUUAAUUGAUGGGGUCAGCGCAAGCGAAGCUCUUGAUCGAAGCCCCGGUAAACGGCGGCCGUAACUAUAACGGUCCUAAGGUAGCGAAAUUCCUUGUCGGGUAAGUUCCGACCUGCACGAAUGGCGUAAUGAUGGCCAGGCUGUCUCCACCCGAGACUCAGUGAAAUUGAACUCGCUGUGAAGAUGCAGUGUACCCGCGGCAAGACGGAAAGACCCCGUGAACCUUUACUAUAGCUUGACACUGAACAUUGAGCCUUGAUGUGUAGGAUAGGUGGGAGGCUUUGAAGUGUGGACGCCAGUCUGCAUGGAGCCGGCCUUGAAAUACCACCCUUUAAUGUUUGAUGUUCUAACGUGGACCCGUGAUCCGGGUUGCGGACAGUGUCUGGUGGGUAGUUUGACUGGGGCGGUCUCCUCCUAAAGAGUAACGGAGGAGCACGAAGGUUGGCUAAUCCUGGUCGGACAUCAGGAGGUUAGUGCAAUGGCAUAAGCCAGCUUGACUGCGAGCGUGACGGCGCGAGCAGGUGCGAAAGCAGGUCAUAGUGAUCCGGUGGUUCUGAAUGGAAGGGCCAUCGCUCAACGGAUAAAAGGUACUCCGGGGAUAACAGGCUGAUACCGCCCAAGAGUUCAUAUCGACGGCGGUGUUUGGCACCUCGAUGUCGGCUCAUCACAUCCUGGGGCUGAAGUAGGUCCCAAGGGUAUGGCUGUUCGCCAUUUAAAGUGGUACGCGAGCUGGGUUUAGAACGUCGUGAGACAGUUCGGUCCCUAUCUGCCGUGGGCGCUGGAGAACUGAGGGGGGCUGCUCCUAGUACGAGAGGACCGGAGUGGACGCAUCACUGGUGUUCGGGUUGUCAUGCCAAUGGCACUGCCCGGUAGCUAAAUGCGGAAGAGAUAAGUGCUGAAAGCAUCUAAGCACGAAACUUGCCCCGAGAUGAGUUCUCCCUGACCCUUUAAGGGUCCUGAAGGAACGUUGAAGACGACGACGUUGAUAGGCCGGGUGUGUAAGCGCAGCGAUGCGUUGAGCUAACCGGUACUAAUGAACCGUGAGG